RNAcentral lists this ribosomal RNA (518 nucleotides) under uncultured bacterium. RNAcentral describes it as "bacterial SSU rRNA". It matches the Rfam family "Bacterial small subunit ribosomal RNA", at positions 992 to 1509 of the family's 1533-position model. The record is from RNAcentral.
AGAAUUUAGCAGAGAUGCUUUAGUGCCUUCGGGAACUCUGAGACAGGUGCUGCAUGGCUGUCGUCAGCUCGUGUUGUGAAAUGUUGGGUUAAGUCCCGCAACGAGCGCAACCCUUAUCCUUUGUUGCCAGCACGUAAUGGUGGGAACUCAAAGGAGACUGCCGGUGAUAAACCGGAGGAAGGUGGGGAUGACGUCAAGUCAUCAUGGCCCUUACGAGUAGGGCUACACACGUGCUACAAUGGCGCAUACAAAGAGAAGCGACCUCGCGAGAGCAAGCGGACCUCAUAAAGUGCGUCGUAGUCCGGAUUGGAGUCUGCAACUCGACUCCAUGAAGUCCGAAUCGCUAGUAAUCGUAAAUCAGAAUGUUACGGUGAAUACGUUCCCGGGCCUUGUACACACCGCCCGUCACACCAUGGGAGUGGGUUGCAAAAGAAGUAGAUAGCUUAACCUUCGGGAGGGCGUUUACCACUUUGUGAUUCAUGACUGGGGUGAAGUCGUAACAAGGUAAGCGUAGUGCU